Molecule: ribosomal RNA, 1307 nt
Filed under: Salmonella enterica subsp. enterica
Lineage: Bacteria; Pseudomonadati; Pseudomonadota; Gammaproteobacteria; Enterobacterales; Enterobacteriaceae
Description: partial 23S ribosomal RNA
Rfam family: Bacterial large subunit ribosomal RNA
Source: RNAcentral
AGGGAAACCGAGUCUUAACUGGGCGUUAAGUUGCAGGGUAUAGACCCGAAACCCGGUGAUCUAGCCAUGGGCAGGUUGAAGGUUGGGUAACACUAACUGGAGGACCGAACCGACUAAUGUUGAAAAAUUAGCGGAUGACCUGUGGCUGGGGGUGAAAGGCCAAUCAAACCGGGAGAUAGCUGGUUCUCCCCGAAAGCUAUUUAGGUAGCGCCUCGUGAAUUCAUCUUCGGGGGUAGAGCACUGUUUCGGCUAGGGGGUCAUCCCGACUUACCAACCCGAUGCAAACUGCGAAUACCGGAGAAUGUUAUCACGGGAGACACACGGCGGGUGCUAACGUCCGUCGUGAAGAGGGAAACAACCCAGACCGCCAGCUAAGGUCCCAAAGUCAUGGUUAAGUGGGAAACGAUGUGGGAAGGCCCAGACAGCCAGGAUGUUGGCUUAGAAGCAGCCAUCAUUUAAAGAAAGCGUAAUAGCUCACUGGUCGAGUCGGCCUGCGCGGAAGAUGUAACGGGGCUAAACCAUGCACCGAAGCUGCGGCAGCGAACGUAUCACUUAAAGCGAUUCAGCGGGUUACGAUUGACGGAGCGAAGCGACGUCAAAGCGUAUAGAAAGUCGAGUCGGUUUAAGGAUACGUUCGUUGGGUAGGGGAGCGUUCUGUAAGCCUGUGAAGGUGUGUCGUGAGGCAUGCUGGAGGUAUCAGAAGUGCGAAUGCUGACAUAAGUAACGAUAAUGCGGGUGAAAAACCCGCUCGCCGGAAGACCAAGGGUUCCUGUCCAACGUUAAUCGGGGCAGGGUGAGUCGACCCCUAAGGCGAGGCCGAAAGGCGUAGUCGAUGGGAAACAGGUUAAUAUUCCUGUACUCGGUGUUACUGCGAAGGGGGGACGGAGAAGGCUAUGUUGGCCGGGCGACGGUUGUCCCGGUUUAAGCGUGUAGGUGUGUGGACCAGGCAAAUCCGGUUCACUUUAACACUGAGGCGUGAUGACGAGGCACUACGGUGCUGAAGCAACAAAUGCCCUGCUUCCAGGAAAAGCCUCUAAGCAUCAGGUAACAUCAAAUCGUACCCCAAACCGACACAGGUGGUCAGGUAGAGAAUACCAAGGCGCUUGAGAGAACUCGGGUGAAGGAACUAGGCAAAAUGGUGCCGUAACUUCGGGAGAAGGCACGCUGAUGGUAGGUGAAGUGAUUUACUCAUGGAGCUGAAAUCAGUCGAAGAUACCAGCUGGCUGCAACUGUUUAUUAAAAACACAGCACUGUGCAAACACGAAAGUGGACGUAUACGGUGUGACGCCUGCCCGGUGCCGGAAGGU